This 885-nucleotide ribosomal RNA is filed under the name uncultured bacterium. RNAcentral's name for it is "bacterial SSU rRNA". It matches the Rfam family "Bacterial small subunit ribosomal RNA", at positions 41 to 916 of the family's 1533-position model. The record is from RNAcentral.
UACAGGCUUAACACAUGCAAGUCGAGGGGAAACGACAUCGAAAGCUUGCUUUUGAUGGGCGUCGACCGGCGCACGGGUGAGUAACGCGUAUCCAACCUGCCCACCACUUGGGGAUAACCUUGCGAAAGUAAGACUAAUACCCAAUGAUAUCUCUAGAAGACAUCUGAAAGAGAUUAAAGAUUUAUCGGUGAUGGAUGGGGAUGCGUCUGAUUAGCUUGUUGGCGGGGUAACGGCCCACCAAGGCGACGAUCAGUAGGGGUUCUGAGAGGAAGGUCCCCCACAUUGGAACUGAGACACGGUCCAAACUCCUACGGGAGGCAGCAGUGAGGAAUAUUGGUCAAUGGACGAGAGUCUGAACCAGCCAAGUAGCGUGCAGGAUGACGGCCCUAUGGGUUGUAAACUGCUUUUAUAAGGGAAUAAAGUGAGUCUCGUGAGACUUUUUGCAUGUACCUUAUGAAUAAGGACCGGCUAAUUCCGUGCCAGCAGCCGCGGUAAUACGGAAGGUCCGGGCGUUAUCCGGAUUUAUUGGGUUUAAAGGGAGCGUAGGCCGGAGAUUAAGCGUGUUGUGAAAUGUAGACGCUCAACGUCUGCACUGCAGCGCGAACUGGUUUCCUUGAGUACGCACAAAGUGGGCGGAAUUCGUGGUGUAGCGGUGAAAUGCUUAGAUAUCACGAAGAACUCCGAUUGCGAAGGCAGCUCACUGGAGCGCAACUGACGCUGAAGCUCGAAAGUGCGGGUAUCGAACAGGAUUAGAUACCCUGGUAGUCCGCACGGUAAACGAUGGAUGCCCGCUGUUAGUCUGAAUAGGUCAGCGGCCAAGCGAAAGCAUUAAGCAUCCCACCUGGGGAGUACGCCGGCAACGGUGAAACUCAAAGGAAUUGACGG